RNAcentral lists this microRNA precursor (83 nucleotides) under Ovis aries (sheep). RNAcentral's name for it is "miRNA (ENSOARG00000021702.1)". Lineage: Eukaryota; Metazoa; Chordata; Mammalia; Artiodactyla; Bovidae. The record is from RNAcentral.
UAUUGUGUUGGCCAAAGUGUUCAUUCAGAUUUUUCCAUAACAUCUUAUGGAAAAACCCAAAUGAACUUUCUGGCCAGCCCAAU